GUUCCCUUUAGGUCCUGGAAGACUGCAGUGAGGUCACUCUGCUCCUUCGCAGUCCCAGCAAGCUUUCGGAAGCUGCUGAGCACAACAAAGGAUCUGAUCCUUUCUUGUCUUCUGGUGACUGGACACUGCUGAAAAUGGACCUUUCAUCUUCCCUGGAAUAGAUGUUCUAUUGCUCACAUGUGUAUUCUUUGCAAAUUUUUACAUCAGGAUCACCUGUCUGCGAGUUUCUGAAGAUAUACUGGGGUCUUCUUCAUCUUCAAUGUUCCUACCUCAUCUCUGAGAUGGCUGCUUCCAUGGCUGCCAUUUCAAAUCUUUCCAGGGAAAAAUCUAUUAAGGAAAUCUGUCUGGUGAACAAGCUGUUUGGUAAUAAAUUUUGACUGCUUUUCAACUGCUCUCGGCCUUCAAAGCCAAAAAUGCUCUGGAAACAAUAGAAGUGUGUUUACAAUCCCAGACUAUGCAAUUAAUAGCUGAUGACAUUCAGGGAAUAGCAGUAUGUCUAAU
This is a long non-coding RNA of Lagopus muta (rock ptarmigan), 501 nucleotides long. RefSeq lists it as uncharacterized. Lineage: Eukaryota; Metazoa; Chordata; Aves; Galliformes; Phasianidae. The transcript has 3 exons. The record is from RefSeq and is a predicted model, not a curated record.